UACGUAGGGCGCAAGCGUUGUCCGGAAUUAUUGGGCGUAAAGAGCUCGUAGGCGGUCUGUCACGUCGGGAGUGAAAACACGGGGCUUAACCCCGUGCCUGCUUCCGAUACGGGCAGACUAGAGGUAUGCAGGGGAGAACGGAAUUCCUGGUGUAGCGGUGAAAUGCGCAGAUAUCAGGAGGAACACCGGUGGCGAAGGCGGUUCUCUGGGCAUUACCUGACGCUGAGGAGCGAAAGUGUGGGGAGCGAACAGG
Molecule: ribosomal RNA, 253 nt
Filed under: uncultured bacterium
Lineage: Bacteria
Description: partial 16S ribosomal RNA
Rfam family: Bacterial small subunit ribosomal RNA
Source: RNAcentral